CAGUGCUUCUAUAUCCGUGCGGGUGGACCCUGCUAGUUUUUUAUUUCCACCUCAGAUUCCAGGAUACAAGCUGUAUACAACUGCAAAUACGUGAUGGGCCCCACGAAAGAGAGGAUAUCAACCCCACGCCGCUGUCUCCUUCCCGCAUCGAUCUCCUUUCUCCCCACCCCAUCUCUUGUCAGUUCGUUUCAUGGGGCUCCGUCGUAAAUCCCGGCUAUGGCCGCCGCGAGAUCCGCCUUCUCCAGCAACAUCCGGCACCGGAUUCAGGGUUCCACCGCAGGCACCUACCACGGGGGGCACAUAGAAGGCCGGCGGCGGCGCGGCGGUACCAUGAGGCCGACGUGGAGCGGGGGCCGAAUCCACUGGCCGUCGGGGGGUGGCUGAUCCGGCGAGGUUCCUCGAUCCCGCCAACCAGAAGCCCGUCCACCGGCAGCCGUGGUCGCCGUUGGUGUCUCCGUUCAGCACGGGCACCAUGACGGGUCAUCACGCAAGGUUGUCACCGGAUCCGGCGACACCAAGCCUGACUACCAGCGGAUCUGAUCGUCGGCCUCCUCUGCUACUUAAAUUUCAGGAUUUUUGAAUGUUUGUGACAGAGAGCAUGUGUUGUAGUUUUUUGAAAGA
Molecule: long non-coding RNA, 621 nt
Organism: Triticum aestivum (bread wheat)
Lineage: Eukaryota; Viridiplantae; Streptophyta; Magnoliopsida; Poales; Poaceae
Exons: 2
Source: RefSeq, a predicted model, not a curated record